This 496-nucleotide ribosomal RNA is filed under the name uncultured bacterium. RNAcentral describes it as "partial 16S ribosomal RNA". It matches the Rfam family "Bacterial small subunit ribosomal RNA", at positions 29 to 507 of the family's 1533-position model. The record is from RNAcentral.
ACGCACGCUGGCGGCGUGCCUAAUACCUGCAAGUUGAGCGCUGAAGGUUGGUACUUGUACCAACUGGAUGAGCAGCGAACGGGUGAGUAACGCGUGGGGAAUCUGCCUUUGAGCAGGGGACAACAUUUGGAAACGAAUGCUAAUACCGCAUAAAAACUUUAAACACAAGUUUUAAGUUUGAAAGAUGCAAUUGCAUCACUCAAAGAUGAUCCCGCGUUGUAUUAGCUAGUUGGUGAGGUAAAGGCUCACCAAGGCGAUGAUACAUAGCCGACCUGAGAGGGUGAUCGGCCACAUUGGGACUGAGACACGGCCCAAACUCCUACGGGAGGCAGCAGUAGGGAAUCUUCGGCAAUGGACGAAAGUCUGACCGAGCAACGCCGCGUGAGUGAAGAAGGUUUUCGGAUCGUAAAACUCUGUUGGUAGAGAAGAACGUUGGUGAGAGUGGAAAGCUCACCAAGUGACGGUAACUACCCAGAAAGGGACGGCUAACUACGUG